UGGUGUAUAGCCAAAAGGUAAGGCAAUGGUUUUUGAUACCAUUAUUUAGAGGUUCGAGUCCUUUUACACCAG
Molecule: transfer RNA, 72 nt
Filed under: Rhodogorgon sp.
Lineage: Eukaryota; Rhodophyta; Florideophyceae; Rhodogorgonales; Rhodogorgonaceae
Description: tRNA-Gln
Rfam family: tRNA
About the family: Transfer RNA (tRNA) molecules are approximately 80 nucleotides in length. Their secondary structure includes four short double-helical elements and three loops (D, anti-codon, and T loops).
Source: RNAcentral